GGGGGCUGGGCGUCCCAGAGGAAUUGGUCUGGGGCAGGUUGGGACUGAGUCGCUGGCAGAGAGAGGGGACCACAGGAGUGUGGGUCCUUCACUCCUAGGAAAGCGCAGGAGGUGAGAGUGGACUUCCUUCUAGGGGUUCAAACACCAAGGGUGGCCUGUGGAGAGAACACAGGAUGGCAGAGCCUUGGAAAGCUAAAAAGAAACGAAAUGCGUGCUAAUGAGGAGGCUCCUGGCAGUGUCCAGGCCCUGGGACCCUGAGCGGGAAUGUGAUGCUGGUGCUGCCCCCUGAGCUCCUCGACGGCCUCCACAACGUCCUGCAGACCACUGCCCUCCCCAUGCCAAGGCUGAAGAGAAGGAAGGAGCAGCUUCACACUGCGGGACCUCACAGGACACUGCCUUGGCCACGUGGUCAGUGUUAACCUCCCCAGGACCAGGCACAUCUGACCAGCUGCCUCCCGCUGUGACCCCAUGGAAGGACUCAGUGUCAUCUGCAGGAUCUUGUCAGGAACGUACAGCCUGAAUCUGAUCAUGGGAAGUACCAGGGAGACCUCAACAGAGGAAUAUGCUGAAAAUGCUGCGGCUUGUCUUCUUCAAAAUCUUCAAAGUCAUACUGGGUGUGCUGGUGCAGCCUGUCAUCCCUGCAUUCUAGGAGGCUGAGGCAGGAGGAACAGAAGAGGAAGACCAGCCUGGGUGAAACCUUUCUCUUACUACUCCAUUCUCAAGGAGCCAGGACGUCUCCAGCUGAUGUAAUCUUGGCCUGGACUGUCACAGCAUCACCGGAGGUCUCAGCUGUGACCAGAGGCAAAAAUGGAGUUAUGCCUGGACAUGCCAUAGCCCCCCUGCAGGCAGGAAAACAAGGCCUAAACAUAAUUUAAUCUUGCAAUGCUUUUCCCCCAAAGUUAUGUAGACUUGCUCUUGACAUCAACCCAUGUAUAAUUUACUGUGGCAUGCGAGGCUAGAAUCUAACCUUUCUUGAGGCAGUUACCCUGGCCUGACAUUGUUUAUGAAUAACUCAUCCAUUUCACACUUAUUCAGAAUGAAAAUCCUUAUCAUAUAUUACAUUUUCAUUUUUCUCUUUUUUCUCCUGUAUCUCUUAAGAAAGAGGAUCAAGGGAUGGGUGGAGGGCAUAGAGAGGGAAGGGAAAGCAGAUGAAAAAGAAAUUAUGAUCUCUUAUGUACAUGUACCAACCUCCCACAAGGAAUGUAAGCAUUAUGUUCUACACAUAUGUACUAAUACACUAAAAUUUAAAAAUUAUCAUUCAAGAUUAAUAAAAAAUUUUAGUCAUUUGGG
Molecule: long non-coding RNA, 1290 nt
Filed under: Heterocephalus glaber (naked mole-rat)
Lineage: Eukaryota; Metazoa; Chordata; Mammalia; Rodentia; Bathyergidae
Description: lncRNA (ENSHGLG00000046067.1)
Source: RNAcentral